UACGUAGGGUGCGAGCGUUAAUCGGAAUUACUGGGCGUAAAGCGUGCGCAGGCGGUUAUGUAAGACAGAGGUGAAAUCCCCGGGCUCAACCUGGGAACUGCCUUUGUGACUGCAUGACUAGAGUACGGCAGAGGGGGAUGGGAUUCCGCGUGUAGCAGUGAAAAGCGUAGAUAUGCGGAGGAACACCGAUGGCGAAGGCAAUCCCCUGGGCCCGUACUGACGCUCAUGCACGAAAGCGUGGGGAGCAAACAGG
Molecule: ribosomal RNA, 253 nt
Filed under: uncultured bacterium
Lineage: Bacteria
Description: partial 16S ribosomal RNA
Rfam family: Bacterial small subunit ribosomal RNA
Source: RNAcentral